CCGGGCGCGCGCGCCCGCGAGGCGGCCCCUGGGAGUCGGAGGAGCGCGGCGGCGCGCGAGGCUCCCGCGCCAAGAGCGGUGCUUCCGCGGAGAGUCCCGUCCCGAGGCCAAUCUCGGAAGGUCAUGGAGAAGCCAGGGAGAGCGAAGAGGCCGAGCCGGUGCAAAUCCCCACGCAAGGCGGGCCUAGUGCGCGGCGGCCCUGCGGAGUAAUGCACCAAAUGAAAUUAGCUGGAGAGCGUUUGAUGGCACAGAAUCAUGAUUUGAAGAUGUUUACGCUCUAUGCCGGACGCGUUUGAUGAUGUUCUCUUCGACACAAUUAAUUUUGCAAAGUUUAGAAAUGUGCCAGACGGAGCCCCUGGCACGCAGAGCCACAGGGCUCUGCAGACGCACCUUCCAUGAGAAACCAUCUUGUUUGUUUGUUUGUGAUUUAUUUGAUGCACCAGCACCAAGGCCAGUGUGUUUUUAGAGACCUGUGGAUGAAAUGCCAAAGCAAUUUCUAAACUGGCAAAAUGAAGCUUAUUUUCUGAAAUAACACUUCCCUGUUGAUAAAGUAACUAAAAUGGGCAGCAAAACACCUGCCAGUACGUUGGGCUUCCUAGAUGAACAUGUGUCACAGUAAGACAUGUUCUCUUACCCGUGUGUCCUGAUGACCAGUUCUAUCCAUGUGCAUAUUUUGAACACCAGAAGAAAAUGCUUCUGAGGAAUAGAGUGAAGAAAUAAAAUAAGUCACUAUCGUCAAACUGCUAAAUUACUAAAAUCAACUAAAUGGAGGCAGAGAAAAUCACACCUAUAAUGAAAAUUCUGGAAAUGAAAGGCUUUGUUCUUUGAAAGAAUAAGAGUCCUUUUGAAAGCAGGUGCUGGUGUAUCUAAUUCCUUUAUAUGCUCAGAGAAGGGCACCUUUGCACAGACUUAAGAUGCUCAAUCAACAUUUGUUACCUUGAGUUGCUGUUGAAUUGAAGGCAAAAACAGGACACACAUUCUGUGCCACACGCUCAGCAUUCCAUAGAAGAAUACACAUUGGACCCCAAGUUGGGAAGCCUGGAGUAGAGUUCACGCCAUGGUACCACUUUAGCAAGUCACUUAAUUUCUCCAGACGGUAUCCUUGUCAGGAAUGUGCUGGUGUCACCAGGUGAUACAUAAAAAUCUUUUCAAGUUUGAAUUAGCAAGAAGGCAGAUUACCAGUUUGACAACCCUAAAUAACAAUAAAGUGCCUGGUUUAUUGCCUUGG
Long non-coding RNA from Hipposideros armiger (great roundleaf bat), 1228 nucleotides. RefSeq lists it as uncharacterized. The record is from RefSeq and is a predicted model, not a curated record. The transcript is spliced from 4 exons. NCBI's taxonomy places the organism in Eukaryota, Metazoa, Chordata, Mammalia, Chiroptera, Hipposideridae.